AUACGGAAGGUCCGGGCGUUAUCCGGAUUUAUUGGGUUUAAAGGGAGCGCAGGCGGAGAUGCAAGCGUGACGUCAAAUUUCGGGGCUCAACCCCGUCUCGCGUCGCGAACUGCGUCCCUUGGUUGCGGGAAGGGGAGGCGGAACUCGUGGUGUAGCGGUGAAAUGCAUAGAUAUCACGAAGAACUCCGAUCGCGAAGGCAGCCUUCCGGCCCGUCAACGACGCUCAUGCUCGAAGGUGCGGGUAUCAAACAGGAUUAGAUACCCUGGUAGUCCACGCAGUAAACGAUGAUAACUAACCGCUGGGUCGUAGUGAUUCAGUGGCCAAGCGAAAGCGAUAAGUUAUCCACCUGGGGAGUACGACCGCAAGGUUGAAACUCAAAUGAAUUGACGGGG
Molecule: ribosomal RNA, 393 nt
Filed under: uncultured bacterium
Lineage: Bacteria
Description: partial 16S ribosomal RNA
Rfam family: Bacterial small subunit ribosomal RNA
Source: RNAcentral